GAUUAACGCUAGCGGCAGGCCUAAUACAUGCAAGUCGAGGGGCAGCAGGAUGUAGCAAUACAUUGCUGGCGACCGGCGUACGGGUGCGUAACACGUAUGCAACCUUUCCUUAACCGGGGAAUAGCUCCGAGAAAUCGGAAUUAAUACCCCAUAACAUUGCGAGAUGGCAUCAUUUUGCAAUUAAAGCUCCGGCAGUUAAGGGUGGGCAUGCGUCCCAUUAGCUUGUUGGCGAGGUAACGGCUCACCAAGGCAACGAUGGGUAGGGGUUCUGAGAGGA
Molecule: ribosomal RNA, 277 nt
Filed under: uncultured bacterium
Lineage: Bacteria
Description: partial 16S ribosomal RNA
Rfam family: Bacterial small subunit ribosomal RNA
Source: RNAcentral